AUUGAACGCUGGCGGCAUGCUUUACACAUGCAAGUCGGACGGCAGCGGGGUAGUGCUUGCACUACUGCCGGCGAGUGGCGAACGGGUGAGUAACAUAUCGGAACGUACCGAGCAGUGGGGGAUAACUAAUCGAAAGAUUAGCUAAUACCGCAUAUAUUCUGAGGAAGAAAGCAGGGGACCUUUGGGCCUUGCGCUGUUUGAGCGGCCGAUAUCUGAUUAGCUGGUUGGUGGGGUAAAGGCCUACCAAGGCGACGAUCAGUAGCGGGUCUGAGAGGAUGAUCCGCCACACUGGGACUGAGACACGGCCCAGACUCCUACGGGAGGCAGCAGUGGGGAAUUUUGGACAAUGGGGGCAACCCUGAUCCAGCCAUGCCGCGUGUCUGAAGAAGGCCUUCGGGUUGUAAAGGACUUUUGUCCGGGAAGAAAAGCGCGAUGUUAAUACCAUUGCGUGCUGACGGUACCAGAAGAAUAAGCACCGCUAAUAC
This 485-nucleotide ribosomal RNA is filed under the name Neisseria sp. oral taxon 014. RNAcentral describes it as "bacterial SSU rRNA". It matches the Rfam family "Bacterial small subunit ribosomal RNA", at positions 30 to 503 of the family's 1533-position model. The record is from RNAcentral. Lineage: Bacteria; Pseudomonadati; Pseudomonadota; Betaproteobacteria; Neisseriales; Neisseriaceae.